ACACCAUCUUCUUAAAACAAAAUUUUUUGAAUGUACUUGUGAUCGAUGCAAGGAUCCCACAGAAUUUGGAACAAUGUUUAAUGCUUUAAAGUGCAAUCGAAUCUGAAAAUCGAAUUCGAGGCCUGAUUCUUUUCGAAUUACAUGCAGCCCACGCAGACCUUAGUAGGAGACAUACAGAAAUGGAGAUUUUAGUGCCAUUAUUGCAGGAGUCAAAGAAGUAUUUAGUUGAUGGCUAUCAAUUACUGAAGUACGAACCAAAAGUUCUACCGGAAGGAAAAAUAGCUCAACAUGCAGAACAAAAUUUACACGAAAUAAAUAAGCUCUUAAAACGAUUCAAUGUAACAUAAACUUUAUCA
This 356-nucleotide unclassified non-coding RNA is filed under the name Bombus terrestris (buff-tailed bumblebee). RNAcentral's name for it is "misc RNA ENSBTSG00005028050.1". Lineage: Eukaryota; Metazoa; Arthropoda; Insecta; Hymenoptera; Apidae. The record is from RNAcentral.